RNAcentral lists this ribosomal RNA (253 nucleotides) under uncultured bacterium. RNAcentral describes it as "partial 16S ribosomal RNA". It matches the Rfam family "Bacterial small subunit ribosomal RNA", at positions 524 to 776 of the family's 1533-position model. The record is from RNAcentral.
UACAGCGGUCUCAAGCGUUGUUCGGAUUCAUUGGGCGUAAAGGGUGCGUAGGUGGCGCUGUACGUCGGGUGUGAAAUUUCGGAGCUUAACUCCGAAACUGCAUUCGAUACUGCGGUGCUUGAGGACUGGAGAGGAGACUGGAAUUCAUGGUGUAGCAGUGAAAUGCGCAGAUAUCGGGAGGAACACCUAUGGCGAAGGCAGCUCGCUGGGACGUUACUGACGCUGAGACGCGAAAGCGUGGGGAGCAAACAGG